Long non-coding RNA from Gasterosteus aculeatus aculeatus (three-spined stickleback), 1108 nucleotides. Lineage: Eukaryota; Metazoa; Chordata; Actinopteri; Perciformes; Gasterosteidae. The record is from Ensembl.
UGAUGUUGGAUUCUUUUUUUUUUUUAACAAUAAUUGACCGUUAAAUACGUUUGUUUUCUAAUUCACCCUGAGACUUUUUGAGCAGAAAAUCAUUUCAUUUUGAAGAAGUGCUGAAUUAUGAUGAAGCGUGUUGUUGAAAAUGUGUACAUAUCUGUUAUUCUUUUUGUAUUUAUUCACAAUUGUCCCCGUUUACCCAAUAUGAGCCGAACAGAGUAUUUCUGCCCUCCUGCCUCGUUCUGUGUUCGCGGACAUCGACGAGAUCGGCCUGGUUUCUCUGAAUCUCGCAGAAUUCGCUCGUUCGAGUUCGAGCAAUACCAGCUGACACGCAAACACAUAUGAACUUUGGCUGCUGCAGGCAGAUAACAACAACCUGUAGUCCGUUUGGUAAAAAUGCUGUGCAGCAAAGUAUUUUGUUACGCUAUGAAUCCAAACUGCUAUUCAAUGAAGUUUCAUUGGCUGUGGCUCUCCGAAAAGUGUUUUGAUUUUUGGGUGUAAUUUUUUCUAAGGUUGAUCAUGACCCUUGUUAAUUCUGCUGUAUUUUGAUGGAGAAACCGGGGCCCAAAUGUCAUGUCUCAAUACCCCCCCCCCCCACACACACACACACACACACACACACAGACUAGGUACUCGCCAGUGGUUUACCCAGCUACCCCGCGGUGUACAGUUAACACGCCUUCAAUUCCUCUUUUCUCCGUUUAACGCCACGUACCAAACCCGUGUUCCGGGGAAGAACUGGUUUGUGUUGGGCUAAUGGACUGGAAACCCUGGUUUACGUGGGAGUUCUAUGACAUUUGUUUCCCCUCAGUAUCUUCUCAUGUGUACCUACAGGUCAAAGGUGAUAAUUGUUGAUAGUAAAAGAAUGGGAGGUUUCAGUGUGUUGCAGCUAAAACUAAGUUCAUGAAUUUCAGAGCAGUUGUAUAUUAUCUUUUGCCAAUGAAUGACAUAUUCCCAGUUUAUUUUUCUUUGUUUUUAAGCCUCUUACUUUUUUUUCUUUUCACUUUGUCAUAAUGGCCAGAUCUUUAAUCGAUAUCUAUUUAUAUAAAUAUUUGCGAUAUUAAAACCAAAUCUAUAUAUUUGUAAAAGUGUACCCGGCAACUGCGGUGAAAGA